AUUCCCUACGGGAGGCAGCAGUGGGGAAUAUUGCGCAAUGGGCGAAAGCCUGACGCAGCGACGCCGCGUGAGGGAUGAAGGUCUUCGGAUCGUAAACCUCUGUCAGCAGGGAAGAGCGGUCACUGUGCUAAUCAGCAGUGAAUUGACGGUACCUGCAAAGGAAGCACCGGCUAACUCCGUGCCAGCAGCCGCGGUAAUACGGAGGGUGCGAGCGUUAAUCGGAAUUACUGGGCGUAAAGCGCUCGUAGGCGGUAUGUCAAGUCAAGGGGGAAAUCCCCGCGCUCAACCGGGUAACUGCCUUUGAA
RNAcentral lists this ribosomal RNA (305 nucleotides) under uncultured bacterium. RNAcentral describes it as "bacterial SSU rRNA". It matches the Rfam family "Bacterial small subunit ribosomal RNA", at positions 335 to 631 of the family's 1533-position model. The record is from RNAcentral.